CCUACGGGUUGCAGCAGGGGGGAGUAUUGCGCAAUGGGGGGAACCCUGACGCAGCCAUGCCGCGUGAAUGAAGAAGGCCUUCGGGUUGUAAAGUUCUUUCGGUGAUGAGGAAGGCGAUUAGUUUAAGAGAUUAAUUGAUUGACGAUAAUCACAGAAGAAGCACCGGCUAACUCCGUGCCAGCAGCCGCGGUAAUACGGAGGGUGCGAGCGUUAAUCGGAAUGACUGGGCAUAAAGGGCACGCAGGUGGUGACUUAAGUGAGGUGUGAAAUCCCCGGGCUUAACCUGGGAACAGCAUUUCAGACUGGGAGACUAGAGUACUUUAGGGAGGGGUAGAAUUCCACGUGUAGCGGUGAAAUGCGUAGAGAUGUGGAGGAAUACCGAAGGCGAAGGCAGCCCCUUGGGAAGAUACUGACGCUCGAGUGCGAAAGCGUGGGGAGCAAACAGGAUUAGAUACCCGCGUAGUC
Molecule: ribosomal RNA, 465 nt
Filed under: uncultured bacterium
Lineage: Bacteria
Description: bacterial SSU rRNA
Rfam family: Bacterial small subunit ribosomal RNA
Source: RNAcentral